ACCAGAAAGUGAGGGCUGCCUUCCUUCUACCCUGCACUUUAUACAGACCUGCCAGUACAAUGCUGUUUGGGCUUCAGCAUCUUGUCUUCCUGUGUUUCUCAGUGACUUGUUUCCUUCCCUGCUUGUGCCGUGUGAGGGCAGCAGAGAUUGUGCUUGGCUAUGUGCUGGCAGCCCGAGUACAGCCGCCUCUUUCACGUUCCCACACUGAACAUCAGCAGGUGAACGGCAAAACGGUAAUGUUUGAAAAUCUAUCUGAGAAUAGCUGCACACUGAUUUCCCUCUCACCCCGUUCCCACCCACCGGUUGAUUUUUAACAUAAAGUUUCUCUAAAGCAAAGAGCGAGCCUGCACGUUUUCAUCCUCCCUGAAACAGAGGGGCAAAUAUUUAUACAUACAUGAAAACAGUGAGCAAACAGGAAGGGUUGGGUGGGCUGUUCCACGGGGCAGUGAUACACAGCAGCCAAAUCCCACAUGCAGCUUUCGUAUCCACGCUCUCUCCGUCAGAGAGUGCACAGCACUGAGAUUUCAGCUGCACCUGACCCCGGAAUUUCACUCUGUUGGACGUGGUGGAACUCAGCAAUUAUUUUACAAGGAAGGAAACGUUGCCAUGCAGCAUCUCACCAGGCCAAACCGCAGCUGGAGCUCUUCCCUUGCACAUCAGAGCGGCUGCCGGGAGGUGGAGCACCGCACCCGCUGCACAUCGUCACCGAGCACCAACCGAGAGCUUCCAGAUCGUCCCCCGCUCCAGCCAGGCUGACCCUAAGCCUCCAUCCACACAAGGUCAGCUGCUUGCUGCCAGCAAAUUAAGCAGAAGGCGUUGCUGCUGGUGUUGCUCAUUACUACCAUUGGUGCAGGUGGGCUCUCUGUUUGCUGGCUGCAGACGUGGGCUGCGCUGCUCUAGCCAAAAGAUGCCUACAGCUUGUUGGAGAAGUGCAGAAGCUCUAGGGGCAAAGCACCCGGGCAUAAAGCCCGUACGUCUGGUGGCAGCACCAGCAAAGAUGGGCGGAUGUUUUAAACUGGUCGACGUCAAGCACUGUGAUUUGGUUUCCUUUGGAUCAUUCUGCCUUGAAAUGACUCUGAUCCAGGUGUUGUUUGCUUAUGGGAACACUGAAAAGCUGCACAUGUACAAGUUUUUCACUUGAAAAACAACGAAAAAAAAGCAACCUAGGAAAAUUCCCAUAAAGGUCUAAGCAAGCAGGCUGUGGCACUGCAAGCAAAACCCUGUGAUUUUAUGUCUUUCCACACCUGUGGUCCAUUUAAGCUAUAAAUCCCAUCUGUUGUGAGCAAGGUUUGCUAUCGAGCAUCCUGAUGAGAGAGGUGAGAUUUGACUGUAAGAACAACAUACAAUGAUUUUUAAUAUUUGGUGUAAUAAAGCCUUCUCCUGCAAA
This is a long non-coding RNA of Gallus gallus (chicken), 1387 nucleotides long. RefSeq lists it as uncharacterized. The transcript is spliced from 2 exons. Lineage: Eukaryota; Metazoa; Chordata; Aves; Galliformes; Phasianidae. The record is from RefSeq and is a predicted model, not a curated record.